This 336-nucleotide long non-coding RNA is filed under the name Glycine max (soybean). RNAcentral describes it as "long non-coding RNA (GMAX_LNC004698)". Lineage: Eukaryota; Viridiplantae; Streptophyta; Magnoliopsida; Fabales; Fabaceae. The record is from RNAcentral.
UUGAAUUUGACCCAAAUUUUACAAUCUUUGUAAUUCCCUACCACAUAAAUUAUUGUCGAAAGUUAGUUAUGCAGAUUGAGUUGGUUUUUAAUCUUUGAAGCACGUUUAACUUUGUGAUGGAUGGGAUAAGGUGAGGAAAGAGCUUCAAUAGCUAUUGCAGGAUAAUAUUUUGGCCUAUAUGACUAGGCAACUGAGAUGAUCUUAUUGACCUUUUGUUUCUUUCUCUGUUCAGUGCAUAUAUUUCCAUUGUACUGCUAGAGUAGCAUCGGGGUACUCUUUUCAAUAAAGUUUUUCAAGGUGGUGAAAAAUAUUGUAACGUUGAAAUCGUGAAUUUGU